CUUUGCCUCUCUAGUGCCACCAUGAGGUUGACAUUUGUGGUUUUACGUGAAAUUUCUCAACAACUAUUGGACAAAUUGUAAUAUGGUUCAGACAUUCAUGUCCCCCUCAGGAUGAAUUAAAACUUUGAUCCCAUAAAAGAGAGAGUUCAAAAUCAAAAAUCGAUGCAGCAGAACCAGAUAUCUUUUUUUAUUCGAUGCAUUCUUCUUCCUUGGUCAAAACCCGGUGGCUACAUUACCCACAAUGCAACUCGACCAGACUACAGAGGUCUGGUAAUCUCACUUCUUUCUAAGGCCACACUUUCAGAUUUUCUUCAUUUUCAAACUUGCAGUCUUCAGACUCAUCCGAUGCUGACUCAAGUGACAUCACAUCACAUAUUAAAUAGUACUCCCCAAGACCUGUAAACAGACACUGAUGUGUAAAAUCGGUGGAGUUCCCCUUUAACUUUACAUCGAGUGUUGUCAUCAGGUCAACGGUGAGUUUUACCCAGAAUUUGGUUCAUGACUAAAUUUUUGUGCAACACAUGACAUUUCCAUUAGUCUCAGCUGUACUUUGUGUUUAGCCUACACGGUGCCUAGGUUAGACCCAAUAUAUUUAAAAUGGACUUCUUUUAGGCAAAAUUAAUUGAUAAAUAUUCAAUAUUGUAAGACAUAAUAUGGUGAAUUAAUGGCUUGGAAACAGGCUUUUGGAAAAUAAAAUCUACAGGGAAUACUUGACCUCACUGUUAUAAAACGGCUAGUCCCCUGACAGCAUCUUUAUGUGUCCUCAUGACAGCAAUACAGUAAACAAAAAAAAAGGAGCACAAACUAAGCACUUAUUUCUGACAAAAUAAAACAAUGAAAACUUAUAUAUGUAUUAAGUAUGAAAUAAGCAUAACAACCUUGGGGAAAUCUCUGAACUCUCCUCAGGUCAACUUCUUUGAUGAUUCAGGAAAUUGCCUACUGCACAACGUGAUGUCACUGUUACGCAUUAUACUUUAGCAGUGCUUGAUAUGCCCUACUGCAUAGACAACAGCAGGGAGAGAGACAGACAACAGCUGUUGGACUUCAGCUUCAGUGAGAUGAAGAGUUUCUAAGCGUAAAAGAAGAGAAAACCGUCUGUAAUCAUUGACCGACAAACAUCAGCGGAUUUCUCUGGUUUGUUAUUGGAAGCGACUUCAGCCUCCACAGCCACGAGGCAAAGAAAAGAAAGAGACACGUGGACCAGCCGAGCCUCUGCCAAUUGUCCUUUACCACAGGAGCCAUGAUGGCAGCAGUUCUCAAGCUGUAUUUUAUUGGAACGGCGCUGAGUGUCCUUGCAGUCUUGUAUGGAAUAGUGGACUCCUUUGGUGGUCUGAUGUACGUCCAGGACCAGUACUACAUUUUGGAGCCUGACCACCAGACGCAGAGGCAGGUCUCCUCAAGCAACCACAGGAGAGGGUCGUCUCUGACUAAAAACAUCGGCUCAUAAGGGAAACAUCUUCAUCAGUUUACCAAAAAUGGAAACUGGAUUGAUGUUGGAUACUGUGGCAAUGGAUCAACAGACUUUAUAAUAACUGGAGACAAUAAUUGUACUGGUUCCAUUGCUGACGUCAUUGUAAUGUCUAACUUGUUGGACGUGUUCUGCACUUUGAAAAAGCUCAGCACUAGAUGGUUUGUAGAUUUGGAUGCAUAAUCCCACAGCAUGUCUCCGCUUUGUAUCUGCUGUCGAACACUGUAGCAGCUGGCCUGUGUUAAAGCAACUACAACUCUGACGACAAAUGUAACCGCACUACUGAACAAUGAUUUGCACUAGAAAAAGUUUGGUCUUUUGUCUAUAUCUGUAUUUUGAGUUUUGUUAUUUUUAAUAAAAGUAAAAAAAAAAAACUGUA
Siniperca chuatsi (mandarin fish) is the source of this 1847-nucleotide long non-coding RNA. RefSeq lists it as uncharacterized. The record is from RefSeq and is a predicted model, not a curated record. The transcript is spliced from 2 exons. Lineage: Eukaryota; Metazoa; Chordata; Actinopteri; Centrarchiformes; Sinipercidae.